RNAcentral lists this transfer RNA (71 nucleotides) under Diaphorina citri (Asian citrus psyllid). It matches the Rfam family "tRNA". From Rfam's summary of the family: Transfer RNA (tRNA) molecules are approximately 80 nucleotides in length. Their secondary structure includes four short double-helical elements and three loops (D, anti-codon, and T loops). Further hydrogen bonds mediate the characteristic L-shaped molecular structure. tRNAs have two regions of fundamental functional importance: the anti-codon, which is responsible for specific mRNA codon recognition, and the 3' end, to which the tRNAs corresponding amino acid is attached (by aminoacyl-tRNA synthetases). tRNAs cope with the degeneracy of the genetic code in two manners: having more than one tRNA (with a specific anti-codon) for a particular amino acid; and 'wobble' base-pairing, i.e. permitting non-standard base-pairing at the 3rd anti-codon position. Lineage: Eukaryota; Metazoa; Arthropoda; Insecta; Hemiptera; Psyllidae. The record is from Rfam by way of RNAcentral.
GCUCCUAUGGCGUACGGUCACUGCGCUCGCCUUGCACGCGGGAGACCCGGGUUCGAUUCCCGGCGGGAUCA